Molecule: ribosomal RNA, 492 nt
Filed under: uncultured bacterium
Lineage: Bacteria
Description: partial 16S ribosomal RNA
Rfam family: Bacterial small subunit ribosomal RNA
Source: RNAcentral
AGUGAACGCUGGCGGUAGGCCUAACACAUGCAAGUCGAACGGAAACACAGGAAGAGCUCGCCCUUACGGGUGGCGAGUGGCGGACGGGUGAGGAAUAGAUCGGAAUCUACUUAGACGGGGGGGAUAACGGGGGAAAAGUGACGAUAAUAGCGCAUACGACCAACGGGUGAAAGCAAGAGAGCAUGGGACCUUGGGCGACAGAAAGAGACGAUGUCGGAUUAGCUAGUUGGGAGGGUAAGGGCACACCAAGGCGACGAUACGUAGCGGGUCUGAGAGGAUGAUCAGCCACACUGGAACUGAGACACGGUCCAGACUCCUACGGGAGGCAGCAGUAGGGAAUCUUCGACAAAGGGCGAAAGCCUGACCCAGCCACGCCGCGUGAGUGAAGAAGGUCUUCGGGUUGUAAAGCUCUUUUAUUGGGAAAGAACAACAGCAUGUUAAUCCCUCCCCGUUCUGACGGUACCUAAACAGUAAGCCCCGGCUAACUUCGUG